GGCCUACCAUGGUGGUAACGGGUAACGGGGUGUUAGGGCACGACACCGGAGAGGGAGCCUGAGAAACGGCUACCACAUCCAAGGAUGGCAGCAGGCGCGCAAAUUACCCAAUCCCGACACGGGGAGGUAGUGACAAUAAAUAACAAUACGGGGUUCUUUUGGAUCUCGUAAUUGGAAUGAGUACAAUUUAAAUCUCUUAACGAGGAACAAUUGGAGGGCAAGUCUGGUGCCAGCAGCCGCGGUAAUUCCAGCUCCAAUAGCGUAUAUUAAAGUUGUUGCAGUUAAAAAGCUCGUAGUUGAAUUUCGGGACCAAUUUGUUGGUCGUGCCUCGGUACGUACUGGUAUUAUUGGUUUCUCCCUUCUGAAGAACCUUGAUGUCAUUAAUUUGGUGUCUUGGGGAAUCAGGACUGUUACUUUGAAAAAAUUAGAGUGUUUAAAGCAGGCAUACGCUUGAAUACAUUAGCAUGGAAUAAUGAAAUAGGACGUUUGAUUCUAUUUUGUUGGUUUCUAGGAUCGACGUAAUGAUUAAUAGGGAUAGUUGGGGGCAUUAGUAUUCAAUUGUCAGAGGUGAAAUUCUUGGAUUUAUUGAAGACUAACUACUGCGAAAGCAUUUGCCAAGGAUGUUUUCAUUAAUCAAGAACGAAAGUUAGGGGGAUCGAAGACGAUCAGAUACCGUCGUAGUUCUAACCGUAAACGAUGACAACCAGCGAUUAGUCAGCGUUAAUAUAUGACCUGACUAGCAGCUUCCG
RNAcentral lists this ribosomal RNA (749 nucleotides) under uncultured Glomeromycotina. RNAcentral's name for it is "SSU rRNA". It matches the Rfam family "Eukaryotic small subunit ribosomal RNA", at positions 338 to 1092 of the family's 1831-position model. Lineage: Eukaryota; Fungi; Glomeromycota. The record is from RNAcentral.